AUUGAACGCUGGCGGCAUGCCUAACAUAUGCAAGUCGCACGCGAAAGGGGGCAACCCUGAGUAGAGUGGCGGACGGGUGAGUAACGCGUAGGAAUCUACCUGGUAGUGGGGGACAACCCGGUGAGAACCGGGCUAAUACCGCAUACGAUCCACGGAUGAAAGCAGGGGACCGCCAGGCCUUGCGCUAUCAGAUGAGCCUGCGUCGGAUUAGCUAGUUGGUGGGGAAAAGGCCCACCAAGGCGACGAUCCGUAGCUGGUUUGAGAGAACGACCAGCCACACUGGGACUGAGACACGGCCCAGACUCCUACGGGAGGCAGCAGUGGGGAAUAUUGGACAAUGGGGGCAACCCUGAUCCAGCAAUGCCGCGUGUGUGAAGAAGGCCUUCGGGUUGUAAAGCACUUUCGGUGGGGACAAACAAGGUGGAGCUAACAUCUCCGCCUCUGAUGGUACCCAAAGAAGAAGCACCGGCUAACUCUGUGCCAGCAGCCGCCGUAA
RNAcentral lists this ribosomal RNA (496 nucleotides) under uncultured bacterium. Its description in RNAcentral is "partial 16S ribosomal RNA". It matches the Rfam family "Bacterial small subunit ribosomal RNA", at positions 29 to 523 of the family's 1533-position model. The record is from RNAcentral.